Rhagoletis pomonella (apple maggot) is the source of this 437-nucleotide long non-coding RNA. RefSeq lists it as uncharacterized. The transcript has 3 exons. NCBI's taxonomy places the organism in Eukaryota, Metazoa, Arthropoda, Insecta, Diptera, Tephritidae. The record is from RefSeq and is a predicted model, not a curated record.
ACGAAAACGACAUCCUGUAAAAACCAGUAAAAUUAUUACUGGAUGGUGCGUACGCAAACAGGCCUAAGGUCUCAUUGGGAGACACCAGGAUUGAGUUGUGUAUGUCAAUGCCUAAAUACCUUCGUUGACUUAUUGACCAGAACCAUUGGCACCUUACUUUACAGCAACUUUGCAGAAUCAAUUGGUCCCCACGAAUGUCGACAAAUUCAACUAUUCGGCAUUUAAAGAAAUGUCGUUACCAGCGGAUGAACAAAAAUUUUUUCAAAUUUAAAAAGAGUAAGGUAAGAGCGUAGCUGAUAAAAUUGAGUGAGACCGAGUCUUACAUACAAAACCUUUCAUUAUUGAAUCGUGGCCGAAGUGGAGCUGAGCGGACCUCGGAGCCAAAUAAAAUAUUUAUUUAUUUAUUUAUUUGUUACAGUCUUACGACUUAAUAAUAC